CAAUAUUGUGACGGACCAGCUGCGGAAGUGACAGAACCCAGAACAUGCAGUAUGGAGACACUUAAAUGAAACGAAGGAUUUUUCAGAGUUGUGAGGGACAAAAACAUGCAAGACAAUGUAUUGUCCAUAUUGUGGAAUCCAGCUGGUGGGACAUAUUGGAGUUUUUUGUGGUUCGUGUGGCAGCAACAUUCACGUUUUGGCACCUUUUAUAGAGAAUGCCUGUAACCCAGUCUCAGUCACAGACCUCAUCAGUAAAUAUUUCUCAGAGGGCCAUACAUAUGAAGUGAUCCUUGAUUUUCUUACAACAAAGCACAAUAUUUGUAUAAGUCUGAGAACAUUA
Long non-coding RNA from Archocentrus centrarchus (flier cichlid), 340 nucleotides. RefSeq lists it as uncharacterized. The transcript has 3 exons. NCBI's taxonomy places the organism in Eukaryota, Metazoa, Chordata, Actinopteri, Cichliformes, Cichlidae. The record is from RefSeq and is a predicted model, not a curated record.